UAGAUAUGAGGUUACUGAGGUUUUUAUUCAAAGCCUUUUGCUGAGACUGAUGCGUGAUUAUUUUUCUAACAGUACUACCCGGCUGGUUGUAUAGAUGGAUGUACGUCCACGGAUCAGAUCUUCCGCGUAAGCUCCUUCUAAGUUGUUUACUUCCUUGAAUAUGUAAUGCUUUGUUAAGAUUGUGAAAAUCAGAGCAUGUCAUGAUCACUUGCGUGAAUUAAUUAGUCAUUGUGAGGGAAACGUGUUGUGGAAAUGGUUAUUUGUUUUUUUUUUAAGGAAAACACUUUCCAUUAAUUCAAAACGGUCGAACGAUUACAGUGGGGUCCCAAAACGGGGUCAUCAGGCCAUGGCA
This 352-nucleotide long non-coding RNA is filed under the name Brachypodium distachyon (stiff brome). RNAcentral's name for it is "long non-coding RNA (BDIS_LNC002309)". The record is from RNAcentral. Lineage: Eukaryota; Viridiplantae; Streptophyta; Magnoliopsida; Poales; Poaceae.